GAUUCAGAUCUGAUUAAACCAUGCUUGUAUCACCACUCCUCUGUCGAGAUGCUUUAUGCCUGCCUCAUAUCCAAAUGGUCCAUCUUUUCCUCUAUAAUUUAGAUCUGUUUCUGCCCUGACAGUGGGGACAUAGUAGAUUAUUUCAGCAAACUAAUCCAUGCUAAUUUUUUAACCUUUAUCUUUUCAUCUUAUUUAGCAAUAAUUUCCCUCAUUAAGAGUUAAAAUAUGUAAAAAAUGACAGGGAUCCUGGCAAGCCGAUGGGAAAGGGGAGAUGGACAGAUUGCUAUUGGAACAGUUAUAUAAGGAUUUACUAAUUUUUCUAA
Molecule: long non-coding RNA, 323 nt
Filed under: Bos taurus (domestic cattle)
Lineage: Eukaryota; Metazoa; Chordata; Mammalia; Artiodactyla; Bovidae
Description: long non-coding RNA NONBTAT018327
Source: RNAcentral